AGCAGCCGCGGUAAUUCCAGCUCCAAUAGCGUAUAUUAAAGUUGCUGCAGUUAAAAGCUCGUAGUUGAAUUUCGGGACUAAUAUGUCGGUCGUGCCUCGGUACGUACUGGCUUAUUGGUUUCUCCUUUCUGAAGAACCAUGAUGUCAUUUAUUUGGUGUCGUGGGGAAUCAGGACUGUUACUUUGAAAAAAUUAGAGUGUUUAAAGCAGGCUCACGCUUGAAUACAUUAGCAUGGAAUAAUGAAAUAGGACGUUUGAUUCUAUUUUGUUGGUUUCUAGGAUCGACGUAAUGAUUAAUAGGGAUAGUUGGGGGCAUUAGUAUUCAAUUGUCAGAGGUGAAAUUCUUGGAUUUAUUGAAGACUAACUACUGCGAAAGCAUUUGCCAAGGAUGUUUUCAUUAAUCAAGAACGAAAGUUAGGGAUCGAAGACGAUCAGAUACCGUCGUAGUCUUAACCAUAAACUAUGCCGACUAGGGAUCGGGAUGAUGUUAAUUUUUAAUGUACUCAUUCGGCGCCUUACGG
This 520-nucleotide unclassified non-coding RNA is filed under the name uncultured Glomus. RNAcentral's name for it is "SSU rRNA". It matches the Rfam family "Eukaryotic small subunit ribosomal RNA", at positions 569 to 1093 of the family's 1831-position model. Lineage: Eukaryota; Fungi; Glomeromycota; Glomeromycetes; Glomerales; Glomeraceae. The record is from RNAcentral.